GGCAGCAGUGGGGAAUACUGCGCAAUGGGCGAAAGCCUGACGCAGCGACGCCGCGUGCGGGAUGACGGCCUUCGGGUUGUAAACCGCUUUCACCAGGGACGAAGUGCCUUUCGGGGUGUGACGGUACCUGGAGAAGAAGCACCGGCUAACUACGUGCCAGCAGCCGCGGUAAU
This 173-nucleotide ribosomal RNA is filed under the name uncultured bacterium. Its description in RNAcentral is "partial 16S ribosomal RNA". It matches the Rfam family "Bacterial small subunit ribosomal RNA", at positions 347 to 524 of the family's 1533-position model. The record is from RNAcentral.